AUACUUACCUGGCGUAGAGAUAACCGUGAUGAACAAGGUGGUUUCUCCGAGGUCAAAUCCAUCUAUUGCACUACGGAUGGGUUGAUCCUUGCAAAUAUUUCUAAUGUGGAUAUCUCGGACAUAUUAUUUUUGGACGUAUUAUUUAACUAUAAAUGGUA
Small nuclear RNA from Copidosoma floridanum, 158 nucleotides. RefSeq annotates it as U1 spliceosomal RNA. Lineage: Eukaryota; Metazoa; Arthropoda; Insecta; Hymenoptera; Encyrtidae. The record is from RefSeq and is a predicted model, not a curated record.